CAGCCGCCGCGGGAAUACGGAUGGUGCAAGCGUUAUCCGGAUUUAUUGGGUUUAAAGGGUCCGUAGGCGGACUUAUAAGUCAGUGGUGAAAGCCUGUCGCUUAACGAUAGAACUGCCAUUGAUACUGUAAGUCUUGAGUAUAUUUGAGGUAGCUGGAAUAAGUAGUGUAGCGGUGAAAUGCAUAGAUAUUACUUAGAACACCAAUUGCGAAGGCAGGUUACCAAGAUAUAACUGACGCUGAGGGACGAAAGCGUGGGUAGCGAACAGGAUUAGAUACCCCCGUAGUCCCUGUCUCUUAUAC
This 301-nucleotide ribosomal RNA is filed under the name uncultured bacterium. RNAcentral's name for it is "partial 16S ribosomal RNA". It matches the Rfam family "Bacterial small subunit ribosomal RNA", at positions 509 to 807 of the family's 1533-position model. The record is from RNAcentral.